RNAcentral lists this unclassified non-coding RNA (288 nucleotides) under Hevea brasiliensis (rubber tree). Lineage: Eukaryota; Viridiplantae; Streptophyta; Magnoliopsida; Malpighiales; Euphorbiaceae. The record is from RNAcentral.
AUGUGGGCAAAUACAUGGCUUCUGACCAACAUGAGAAAUUAUCAUAGAGAGCAUGCGCUCCAAUGAAGGAGCUUUUCCAACACAAUUGUUAGGCCUUCUAUUUUCCUUCCCCACAAGAACAAUUUCUCUAAAUAGAGUGAAGACAUUUCUUUGCAAUAGAUAGCCGACAAUCUUACAUGCCCAUGGAAGUUUUUGAUCUAUCAACAGAACUACAACUUCCAGCAAGACAACUGCCGGUUCACUAGAUUCCCACGGUGUCAUCAAUACUUGAUCCUUCAAUUGUUCUCU